UACGUAGGGGGCAAGCGUUGUCCGGAUUUAUUGGGCGUAAAGAGCGUGUAGGCGGCCAGGUAGGUCCGUUGUGAAAACUGGAGGCUUAACCUCCAGCUGUCGAUGGAAACCAUCUGGCUAGAGUCCGGAAGAGAAGAGUGGAAUUCCACGUGUAGCGGUGAAAUGCGUAGAGAUGUGGAGGAACACCAGUGGCGAAGGCGACUCUUUGGCCUGUAACUGACGCUGAGGCGCGAAAGCGUGGGGAGCAAACGGG
Molecule: ribosomal RNA, 253 nt
Filed under: uncultured bacterium
Lineage: Bacteria
Description: partial 16S ribosomal RNA
Rfam family: Bacterial small subunit ribosomal RNA
Source: RNAcentral